Molecule: ribosomal RNA, 274 nt
Filed under: uncultured bacterium
Lineage: Bacteria
Description: partial 16S ribosomal RNA
Rfam family: Bacterial small subunit ribosomal RNA
Source: RNAcentral
AGACGAACCGUACGAACGUUAUUCGGAAUCACUGGGCUUAAAGGGUGCGUAGGCGGCAUGGCAAGUUGGGUGUGAAAUCCCUCGGCUCAACCGAGGAAUGGUGCCCAAAACUGCCUUGCUUGAGGGAGAUAGAGGUGAGCGGAACUACGGGUGGAGCGGUGAAAUGCGUUGAUAUCCGUAGGAACACCGGUGGCGAAAGCGGCUCACUGGGUCUCUUCUGACGCUGAGGCACGAAAGCUAGGGUAGCGAACGGGAUUAGAAACCCGGGUAGUCC